RNAcentral lists this long non-coding RNA (234 nucleotides) under Phoenix dactylifera (date palm). RNAcentral describes it as "long non-coding RNA (PDAC_LNC002431)". The record is from RNAcentral. Lineage: Eukaryota; Viridiplantae; Streptophyta; Magnoliopsida; Arecales; Arecaceae.
GCCAGUCCUGAAAUAGCAUCGUCCAGUAUUGAAUCAUCAACAUCAUGCCGAUCAUACUUCUAGGUAUAUACAACAAAAAAUUUACAGAGCAAGAUGUUUUAUAGAUUUGCAUUAAUUUGCAUCAAUUUGCUUCGACCAGUAUGGACCGACACAUACAAUACCCCGGCAUGGUAUCUUCGUGCCACGCCUUUCCUCUUUCAACAAAGUGCAUGUCGUAUGCUCUUCAUCUCCACU